UCGAAUGUCCCGGGGUAACGGUGGAGAGCUCUCUACGCUUUUUCGUUUUCGUCUCUGGCCUGUGGUUUGCGGUUGAGAUUCGCGAUCGUUUGAGAUCGCCGGUCGUGCUUGCGUUGUCGGUGAGUUGAGUGAGCUCUCCAGCAGCUGUUCUGCGUCGGUCGGUUUUGUUGUUGUUGUUGUUUGUGUGGCGUCCGAGUCGACGCAGGUCGAUCGCGGGACUCUGAUCUCGAGCAGAGUUUAGUAAGUUCCGAGAGCGAUUGUCGGAAAUAGGAUUGAGCUUAAGUGUGGGGCGCCUCGAAACCAGCUUUCGUAGCUGGAGAGGUGACUGUGGAAGAGAGAGGUGUUUGCUUUUGCCUCUUCGGAGUGACCAGCAAGCUGUUCUUGGCUUCUCCGGUCGCGGCCUUUUACUUCGUGGUUUGCUCGAUCUCCGUCUCUUGUUUGAGCAGAGUUGCUCGGAUGGUUGGAUAAAGUCUGAGUUCUUGGUGAUUGUAGGUGUCGGAGUGAAUGAUCGAACCGCACUGUUGUCAGUCUCUUGUCCAAGCAAGUAGAAACUGCGCUCUAGGUUGUUCGGCUCGCUAUGCUUGUGGCUAUAAUUGUUGUUGCACAAAUGGAAGAGUUACAAACCUCUUUUUUUUCCUAUAUUUUCUUCGGCUUCUCGCUAGAUUCCUUUUCCAGUUUAAGUGGAGUUGGGGCUGGUGAUUUCUUGCUUCUAAUUUUACUGGAAUCCCCCAAUUGGACAUGUUUUUAGAAAGCACGAGUUUGUGUACUAUCUCCUAGCUUCUACUUGGGUACUUCCUUUUUGCUUUAUGAUUGUUAUGAGAUUCUAUGCAGAUAUAUGCAUUUUUGGAUGUGUCAGUUUAAUUUUAAGUGCAAUAUCUGGAUAUACAGUUUGUUGCGUAGCUCCACCAAUCAGCAUGUGUGCAUUUAUUGGUAACUUUGCUCUCGAUUUGAGGAAAUGAAAUAAGUGAAUCAGUAAUUUCAAGUGCUUUAAAUUGGGAGACCCAGAAGAACGUUCAUUGUCCUCACCAGUGAUGGAAAAACUAGAUGCUGAUUACUUGUCAGUUUGGAAAAGCUAUGGACCACGUGGUGCUUUGGGUGCUCUUCUUGUUGCCAUAGCUAUACCUAUUCUUCUCUCCACUAUGCUCUUGGGAAAGAAAAAAGUGAAACAAAGAGGAGUACCUGUAGUGGUGGGUGGUGAGGCUGGUUAUGCCAUACGCAAUAGUAGAUCGCCUGAAUUGGUUGAAGUUCCUUGGAAGGGUGCAACAACCAUGGCAGCUCUGUUUGAGCAAUCUUGUAAGAAACAUUCACGACAGAGAUGUCUUGGGACAAGGAAACUUAUUAGCAAGGAGAUUGUCACAGCUGGUGAUGGUAGGAAUUUCGAAAAAUUACACUUGGGAGAUUAUGAAUGGAUCACUUAUCGAGAGGCUUUUGACCGUGCUUGCAACUUUGCAUCUGGACUUGUUAGUUUGGGUCAUAAUGUGGAUAGCCGUGCAGCCAUAUUUGCAGAUACUCGAGCAGAAUGGUUCAUUGCCUUUCAGGGGUUCUUUCGGCAGGAUAUUACUGUUGUCACCAUCUAUGCUUCUCUAGGUGAGGAUGCGCUAGUUCAUUCCCUCAAUGAGACCCAAGUUUCAACCCUGGUCUGCGAUUUCAAACAGUUGAAGAAGUUGGCUGCAAUAAGUUCAAAAUUAACGACAAUUCAGAAUGUCAUUUAUUUUGAUGAUGGUGAACCAGAGAAUGAUUCUAAAUUAUCUGGAAGCAUUAGCAAUUGGAUUGUGAAAUCAUUUUCUGAGAUUGAGAAACUUGGCAAAGAAAUGCCUUCCCCUCCUAGCCUACCAUCUAAAAAUGGGGUUGCUGUCAUAAUGUACACGAGCGGAAGUACUGGUCUGCCUAAGGGUGUCAUGAUUACUCAUGGCAACAUCGUGGCUACUGCUGCAGCAGUUACAACUGUGGUCCCAAAAUUGGGUAGGGAUGAUGUUUACCUGGCGUACUUGCCCCUAGCCCAUGUUUUUGAAUUGGCAGCUGAGUCUGUGAUGUUGGUUGCAGGUUGUGCCAUCGGUUAUGGGUCAACACUGACCAUAACAGACACAUCUAGCAAAAUUAAGAAGGGUACAAAGGGAGAUGCUUCUGCAUUGAAGCCGACUGUCAUGACUGCAGUUCCUGCCAUCCUGGAUCGUGUUCGAGAUGGAGUUCUGAAAAAGGUUGAAGAGAAAGGUGGUUUAGUCAAAAGUCUAUUCGACAUUGGAUAUAAGCGUCGACUGGCUGCUAUAGAAGGAAGCUGGUUUGGAGCUCGGGGACUGGAAAGCAUGUUGUGGGAUCUCAUAGUUUUUAAGAAGAUUCGCACAGUACUAGGGGGUCAUAUCCGAUUUAUGCUUUGUGGUGGAGCUCCUUUAUCCAGUGAUACCCAGCGGUUUAUCAACAUCUGCAUGGGGGCUCCUAUUGGUCAAGGUUAUGGCUUGACAGAAACCUGUGCUGGGGCUGCAUUUACUGAGUUUGAUGACGACAGUGUGGGCCGUGUUGGCCCACCGCUGCCGUGUGGCUAUAUCAAGCUUGUUUCUUGGGAAGAAGGUGCGUAUAGAAUAUCAGACAAACCAAUGCCUCGAGGAGAAGUUGUAGUUGGUGGGACCAGCAUCACUGCCGGUUACUUUAACAAUGAGGAAAAAACUAAGGAGGUGUAUCGGGUUGACGAGACGGGCAUGCGUUGGUUCUAUACCGGCGAUAUCGGACAGUUUCAUCCUGAUGGCUGCCUUGAAAUUAUUGACCGGAAGAAAGAUAUUGUUAAACUUCAGCAUGGGGAGUAUAUAUCUCUUGGAAAGGUCGAAGCUGCAUUGAUCUCAAGCAAGUAUGUAGAUAACAUCAUGGUAUAUGCAGAUCCAUUCCACAACUAUUGUGUAGCUUUAGUUGUUCCUGCACGGCAGGUGCUGGAGAAAUGGGCCAAUGAAGCUGGUGUUAAUUACAGUGAUUAUGUCGAGCUGUGCGACAAAACUGAGGCAGUGGCCGAGAUUAAGAGAUCAUUUUCUGAGGUAGCCAAGGCAGCAAAACUGGACAAGUUUGAAAAUCCGGCAAAAAUCAAAUUGCUGCCAGAACCAUGGACACCAGAAUCGGGAUUAGUCACUGCUGCGCUCAAAAUAAAGAGAGAACAGCUAAAGGCCAGGUUCAAAGACGAGCUCCAAAAGCUGCACGAGUGAAAUGUGCGUAGGCUUUGAUGCUUACUUGCUUGCCAUAUCGUUCCAGCCAUAGAGGGACAUGGGCUUGAAGAUCCAACCAUGUGGAGAACCACCGAACAUCAUGCAAGUCCCCCCAUAAACCAAUUAAGUCCAAACCAUUUACUUAUAUCAGUUUGCUCGCAGAUAGUGACAUUUGAUCGGAAGACCUCCGAUUCUUAAAAUGGAAAUCCCCCGACGUCGCCAGCCAUCUGCGCCGAUCCUAGAUUGUCGAAAGCUGGUUUACUAAGUAUCAGAGAUGUCUUUUACAACUGCUUUUCUAGAGCCAUCUCGGUUUGCAUCAAACGUUGCAAUGAUUAUGGAUCAUGUAUCUCAUCAAUCAGCACCUUAUAAUGGAAACAAAUCCAAAAAGAAUAAAAGACCACAGGGAGAGAGACCUGAAUUUUUCCACCUUUGGACCUUUGCAUUACACAAGCUAUUGCUUUCCU
This is an RNA transcript of Syzygium oleosum, 3649 nucleotides long. It is a transcript of the gene named long chain acyl-CoA synthetase 8, with no coding region annotated. The record is from RefSeq and is a predicted model, not a curated record. The transcript is spliced from 13 exons. Lineage: Eukaryota; Viridiplantae; Streptophyta; Magnoliopsida; Myrtales; Myrtaceae.